This 374-nucleotide ribosomal RNA is filed under the name Staphylococcus aureus. RNAcentral describes it as "bacterial SSU rRNA". It matches the Rfam family "Bacterial small subunit ribosomal RNA", at positions 1161 to 1533 of the family's 1533-position model. Lineage: Bacteria; Bacillati; Bacillota; Bacilli; Caryophanales; Staphylococcaceae. The record is from RNAcentral.
AACCGGAGGAAGGUGGGGAUGACGUCAAAUCAUCAUGCCCCUUAUGAUUUGGGCUACACACGUGCUACAAUGGACAAUACAAAGGGCAGCGAAACCGCGAGGUCAAGCAAAUCCCAUAAAGUUGUUCUCAGUUCGGAUUGUAGUCUGCAACUCGACUACAUGAAGCUGGAAUCGCUAGUAAUCGUAGAUCAGCAUGCUACGGUGAAUACGUUCCCGGGUCUUGUACACACCGCCCGUCACACCACGAGAGUUUGUAACACCCGAAGCCGGUGGAGUAACCUUUUAGGAGCUAGCCGUCGAAGGUGGGACAAAUGAUUGGGGUGAAGUCGUAACAAGGUAGCCGUAUCGGAAGGUGCGGCUGGAUCACCUCCUUU